RNAcentral lists this non-coding RNA (30 nucleotides) under Mus musculus (house mouse). The record is from RNAcentral. Lineage: Eukaryota; Metazoa; Chordata; Mammalia; Rodentia; Muridae.
UAAAACACCACAAGGAGAUUCUUCAGUUGC